UACUCCUACGGGAGGCAGCAGUGGGGAAUUUUGGACAAUGGGCGAAAGCCUGAUCCAGCCAUGCCGCGUGAGUGAAGAAGGCCUUCGGGUUGUAAAGCUCUUUCAGCCGGAAAGAAAACGCAUGGGUGAAUAAUCUGUGCGGAUGACGGUACCGGAAGAAGAAGCACCGGCUAACUACGUGCCAGCAGCCGCGGUAAUACGUAGGGUGCGAGCGUUAAUCGGAAUUACUGGGCGUAAAGCGUGCGCAGGCGGUUUUGUAAGACAGAUGUGAAAUCCCCGGGCUUAACCUGGGAACUGCAUUUGUGACUGCAAGGCUAGAGUACGGCAGAGGGGGGUAGAAUUCCACGUGUAGCAGUGAAAUGCGUAGAUAUGUGGAGGAAUACCGAUGGCGAAGGCAGCCCCCUGGGUCGAUACUGACGCUCAUGCACGAAAGCGUGGGGAGCA
Molecule: ribosomal RNA, 444 nt
Filed under: uncultured bacterium
Lineage: Bacteria
Description: bacterial SSU rRNA
Rfam family: Bacterial small subunit ribosomal RNA
Source: RNAcentral